AGCGUGCGCAGGCGGUUUUGUAAGACUGUCGUGAAAUCCCCGGGCUCAACCUGGGAAUGGCGAUGGUGACUGCAAGGCUAGAGUUUGGCAGGAGGGGGGGUAGAAUUCCACGUGUAGCAGUGAAAUGCGUAGAUAUGUGGAGGAACACCGAUGGCGAAGGCAGCCCCCUGGGUCAAAACUGACGCUCAUGCACGAAAGCGUGGGGAGCAAACAGGAUUAGAUACCCCUGU
This 230-nucleotide ribosomal RNA is filed under the name uncultured bacterium. RNAcentral's name for it is "partial 16S ribosomal RNA". It matches the Rfam family "Bacterial small subunit ribosomal RNA", at positions 564 to 791 of the family's 1533-position model. The record is from RNAcentral.